Molecule: ribosomal RNA, 459 nt
Filed under: uncultured bacterium
Lineage: Bacteria
Description: bacterial SSU rRNA
Rfam family: Bacterial small subunit ribosomal RNA
Source: RNAcentral
GACGAACGCUGGCGGCGUGCUUAACACAUGCAAGUCGAGCGAUGAAGCUCCUUCGGGAGUGGAUUAGCGGCGGACGGGUGAGUAACACGUGGGUAACCUGCCUCAUAGAGGGGAAUAGCCUUUCGAAAGGAAGAUUAAUACCGCAUAAGAUUGUAGUACCGCAUGGUACAGCAAUUAAAGGAGUAAUCCGCUAUGAGAUGGACCCGCGUCGCAUUAGCUAGUUGGUGAGGUAACGGCUCACCAAGGCGACGAUGCGUAGCCGACCUGAGAGGGUGAUCGGCCACAUUGGGACUGAGACACGGCCCAGACUCCUACGGGAGGCAGCAGUGGGGAAUAUUGCACAAUGGGGGAAACCCUGAUGCAGCAACGCCGCGUGAGUGAUGACGGCCUUCGGGUUGUAAAACUCUGUCUUUGGGGACGAUAAUGACGGUACCCAAGGAGGAAGCCACGGCUAACUAC